Molecule: ribosomal RNA, 223 nt
Filed under: uncultured bacterium
Lineage: Bacteria
Description: partial 16S ribosomal RNA
Rfam family: Bacterial small subunit ribosomal RNA
Source: RNAcentral
CGUAGGUAACCUGCCUCUUAGCGGGGGAUAACUAUUGGAAACGAUAGCUAAUACCGCAUAAAAGUCGAUAUCGCAUGGUAUUGAUUUGAAAGGUGCAAUUGCAUCACUAAGAGAUGGACCUGCGUUGUAUUAGCUAGUUGGUGAGGUAACGGCUCACCAAGGCGACGAUACAUAGCCGACCUGAGAGGGUGAUCGGCCACACUGGGACUGAGACACGGCCCAG